GCCAGUUUAGAUGUAGUCAAAGAGUGCGUUAAUUACAAAGGCCUCCCAUUGGCUAUAUGAACCCAGGACCUGGAUCAUCCUCUCCUGCAGAGGUUAUUUAAGGAGAGACACAGUGUACAACAUUUGAAACAGCUUGUCAGUUCCUCUGAGGUCAAGACAUCCUUGGACACACAAGCCACUAUGGCCAAGCUGGUGUGUCUGAUGUUGGCCAUUCUUAUUCUAGUAGCAAUCUGCAGUGAGCACACAGCGAAAGCAGGUUCCUGAAAGCACAAAUUCAAAAGAACAAUGAAGGAUAAGGUGAUGGGUCACAAAAGAUGCCACAAGCCUUUCCUCAGGAUGUGCUGGACAUAAAUCUGGGCUCACCAGUGAUUUUAGAGCUCACAACUGUUUUAAGUCUAUUCUAAAGGAAGGCAUCUCAAGAACAAGUGUGGCUGCUUUGUUACAGCAGUUAACAGUGUGGUCUGCCCGAGCAGAUUCCUUCCACAGACCGAACAAGAGCUGCGACAGGUUUUACGCUGCCUUUGCUCAAAACAUAAGCAUGAUCGCAAGGUGUUGCAGAAUGAAGUACUGCAGAAGACAUGCAAGAGAAAACCCAUACCCCUAUCUAUUCCCUUGACCUGAGAAGAAGCAAGGAGUUCAUCCCAGACAGUGUUUUGAAAGCCCAGAAGAACCUAUGAUAGAUGCUUGUGCUUCAAAUUUAAAAGGGAUAUACCUAGUGACGUUUUCCACUUUCAGCACUGUCAUGCGAAACAUUUGUACAUAACAUUAAACUUCUCAUAGUACAGGCAAAGCAAAGCAGCAUAAGUGCAAUAACAUUUAAUCUUUCAAACCAAAGGCUUCAGUUAGGACAGUUUUUCAGUCUUAGUAUUUAAGAUUAAGAUUGAUGUGUUGAGUUCUUAAUAUUCUUAAUAUUUAUUUAUUAAGAACCCAACACUUCUGAUUUCCCUCUGCCUUGCUUUACAACAGAGGUCUCCAACCCAAUACUGAAUCACCAAUUUUGAAAGACUCGAACAAUUUAAUUGUACCUAAAGAAGCUGUUGAGUUUCUAAACUGCUUAAUAUAGUAAUCUCUACUUUAAUUUAGAGAUCAGACUGAAAGAUGACAUUGUCACAGCUCUAUAGAUCUUAUAUGCUUCAAGCCCAAUGCUAUGCCAGCUAAGAUUCCUUGAGUUUAAAAAGCCUAAACAGAUUUUUGCUCUUGGCUUUCCUUUAAUUGUACUGUAUUUUUUAACUGCUCAAUAACCUGCAAAUGGUGACUCGAAUGGCCACAGGAUUAGCACAGUCUUUAGAUAACGAGUUAUACGCCUAUGCCUAGAUAUGUUAUAUUUGAAGUUAUAGGCAAGUGUAGAACGUAUCAAGAGGAACACAACAAUUAUUUUUAAUUUUAAAGAUCUUUCAUGUUUUCUGAGAUGUUAUCAUUUAAUCAUAUAUUGUUUUACUUGUGCUAUAGGUACAUGUUAAAAUAAAGCUCUUUACUCUGAGUAGCUGCUUGAAUUUCUGCAGCAUUUCCUAUUUCCUCGUUACAGAGCCAAACUUGAGCGAAGGAACCCUGGCUUUUUGGCUUUAAACAUAUUCGCCUACCUUAGGUGUGUUGUGCACACUGCUUUUUAUCAUGAGCAGGCGUCUCCAGUGGCUAUGCAGAAGUUAUAUCUCAAAUGGUGAAUGGUGCCCUGUGUGUAGCCCCUGUGGACUCAAAAUCCUAAUGUAAUCCUGGAAUAACUUGUGUGACAACUCCAUCUCACAAAGGUGAGGUUUUUUUGUAUGGCUUUUUGCAAACAGCUUAUCGUAACAAAGAAUGAAACUUGAUUUCUGUGCAAUGUCUAUUAGGAUGUAAAUAAAAUUGCUGGUCCCAGGAAUCUGUUGUGCUUACCAGUAUUAUUUUCAUCACAAUCCUGAGAUACAAAAUAAAUAAUGUUCUUCAUCUGUUUAAUGAGAUGUUACUGUA
Molecule: long non-coding RNA, 1944 nt
Organism: Lepisosteus oculatus (spotted gar)
Lineage: Eukaryota; Metazoa; Chordata; Actinopteri; Semionotiformes; Lepisosteidae
Source: Ensembl